UCCAUAGGAACGAGGUUGGCUACUUUUCAACCUCGUUGCAAUGGAAGUUCCAUUGCAACGAGGUUGAAAAGUAGCCAACCUCGUUCCCAGGGUAUUUGCUC
Non-coding RNA from Paramuricea clavata, 101 nucleotides. The record is from the annotation of a GenBank genome assembly. Lineage: Eukaryota; Metazoa; Cnidaria; Anthozoa; Malacalcyonacea; Plexauridae.